CUAGUUGGUGAGGUAACGGCCCACCAAGGCGACGAUCGGUAGCUGGUCUGAGAGGAUGAUCAGCCAGACUGGGACUGCGAAACGGCCCAGACUCCUACGGGAGGCAGCAGUUAGGAAUUUUGGGCAAUGGGCGCAAGCCUGACCCAGCAACGCCGCGUGGGUGACGAAGGCCUUCGGGUUGUAAAGCCCUUUUCUCAGGGACGAUGAUGACGGUACCUGAGGAAGAAGCACCGGCUAACUACGUGCCAGCAGCCGCGGUAAUACGUAGGGUGCGAGCGUUGCCCGGAUUUAUUGGGCGUAAAGGGCGCGCAGGCGGCCCGCCGCGUCCCGCGUGAAAGCCCCCGGCUCAACUGGGGGAUGUCGCGGGAAACGGGCGAGCUAGAGCGAGGGAGGGGGCAGUGGAAUUCCCGGUGUAGUGGUGGAAUGCGUAGAGAUCGGGAGGAACACCAGUGGCGAAGGCGACUGCCUGGCCCUCUAGCUGACGCUGAGGCGCGAAAGCGUGGGGAGCGAUCCGGAUUAGAUACCCGGGUAGUCCACGCCGUAAACGAUGUCGACUAGGUGUCGGGGGUAUCGACCCCCUCGGCGCCGGAGCUAACGCAUUAAGUCGACCGCCUGGGGACUACGGCCGCAAGGCUAAAACUCAAAGGAAUUGACG
This 655-nucleotide ribosomal RNA is filed under the name uncultured bacterium. RNAcentral describes it as "SSU rRNA". It matches the Rfam family "Bacterial small subunit ribosomal RNA", at positions 245 to 915 of the family's 1533-position model. The record is from RNAcentral.